Molecule: non-coding RNA, 22 nt
Filed under: Rattus norvegicus (Norway rat)
Lineage: Eukaryota; Metazoa; Chordata; Mammalia; Rodentia; Muridae
Source: RNAcentral
AAUGUCAAAAUGUCUCACGUGC